AUACGGAGGAUGCGAGCGUUAUCCGGAUUUAUUGGGUUUAAAGGGUGCGCAGGCGGGCGAUUAAGUCAGCGGUGAAAGGCUCGGGCUCAACCGGAGCAGUGCCGUUGAUACUGGUUGUCUUGAAUGCGGUCAAGGCCGGCGGAAUGUGGCGUGUAGCGGUGAAAUGCAUAGAUAUGCCACAGAACACCGAUAGCGAAGGCGGCUGGCCGGGCCUGCAUUGACGCUGAGGCACGAAAGCGUGGGGAUCGAACAGGAUUAGAUACCCUGGUAGUCCACGCUGUAAACGAUGGACACUCGUUGUCGGCGACAGACAGUCGGCGGCCAAGCGAAAGUGAUAAGUGUCCCACCUGGGGAGUACGGUCGCAAGGCUGAAACUCAAAUGAAUUGACGGGG
This 393-nucleotide ribosomal RNA is filed under the name uncultured bacterium. RNAcentral's name for it is "partial 16S ribosomal RNA". It matches the Rfam family "Bacterial small subunit ribosomal RNA", at positions 523 to 918 of the family's 1533-position model. The record is from RNAcentral.